GUGCCAGCAGCCGCGGUAAGACGAAGGGGGCUAGCGUUGUUCGGAAUUACUGGGCGUAAAGCGAGUGUAGGUGGUUGUCAUAGUCAGGCGUGAAAGCCUUGAGCUCAACUCAAGAAAUGCGCUUGAUACUGGGCGGCUAGAGGACCGGAGAGGAUAGUGGAAUUCCCAGUGUAGUGGUGAAAUACGUAGAGAUUGGGAAGAACACCAGUGGCGAAGGCGGCUAUCUGGACGGUUUCUGACACUAAGACUCGAAAGCGUGGGGAGCAAACAGGAUUAGAUACCCUGGUAGUCC
Molecule: ribosomal RNA, 292 nt
Filed under: uncultured microorganism
Description: partial 16S ribosomal RNA
Rfam family: Bacterial small subunit ribosomal RNA
Source: RNAcentral